GAUGAACGCUGGCGGCGUGCCUAAUACAUGCAAGUCGAGCGAACAGACGAGGAGCUUGCUCCUUUGACGUUAGCGGCGGACGGGUGAGUAACACGUGGGUAACCUACCUAUAAGACUGGGAUAACUUCGGGAAACCGGAGCUAAUACCGGAUAAUAUUUCGAACCGCAUGGUUCGAUAGUGAAAGAUGGCUUUGCUAUCACUUAUAGAUGGACCUGCGCCGUAUUAGCUAGUUGGUAAGGUAACGGCUUACCAAGGCAACGAUACGUAGCCGACCUGAGAGGGUGAUCGGCCACACUGGAACUGAGACACGGUCCAGACUCCUACGGGAGGCAGCAGUAGGGAAUCUUCCGCAAUGGGCGAAAGCCUGACGGAGCAACGCCGCGUGAGUGAUGAAGGUCUUCGGAUCGUAAAACUCUGUUAUUAGGGAAGAACAAACGUGUAAGUAACUGUGCACGUCUUGACGGUACCUAAUCAGAAAGCCACGGCUAACUACGUGCCAGCAGCCGCGGUAAUACGUAGGUGGCAAGCGUUAUCCGGAAUUAUUGGGCGUAAAGCGCGCGUAGGCGGUUUUUUAAGUCUGAUGUGAAAGCCCACGGCUCAACCGUGGAGGGUCAUUGGAAACUGGAAAACUUGAGUGCAGAAGAGGAAAGUGGAAUUCCAUGUGUAGCGGUGAAAUGCGCAGAGAUAUGGAGGAACACCAGUGGCGAAGGCGACUUUCUGGUCUGUAACUGACGCUGAUGUGCGAAAGCGUGGGGAUCAAACAGGAUUAGAUACCCUGGUAGUCCACGCCGUAAACGAUGAGUGCUAAGUGUUAGGGGGUUUCCGCCCCUUAGUGCUGCAGCUAACGCAUUAAGCACUCCGCCUGGGGAGUACGACCGCAAGGUUGAAACUCAAAGGAAUUGACGGGGACCCGCACGAGCGGUGGAGCAUGUGGUUUAAUUCGAAGCAACGCGAAGAACCUUACCAAAUCUUGACAUCCUUUGCUCCUUCUAGAGAUAGAAGUUUCCCCUUCGGGGGACAAAGUGACAGGUGGUGCAUGGUUGUCGUCAGCUCGUGUCGUGAGAUGUUGGGUUAAGUCCCGCAACGAGCGCAACCCUUAAGCUUAGUUGCCAUCAUUAAGUUGGGCACUCUAAGUUGACUGCCGGUGACAAACCGGAGGAAGGUGGGGAUGACGUCAAAUCAUCAUGCCCCUUAUGAUUUGGGCUACACACGUGCUACAAUGGACAAUACAAAGGGCAGCGAAACCGCGAGGUCAAGCAAAUCCCAUAAAGUUGUUCUCAGUUCGGAUUGUAGUCUGCAACUCGACUACAUGAAGCUGGAAUCGCUAGUAAUCGUAGAUCAGCAUGCUACGGUGAAUACGUUCCCGGGUCU
Molecule: ribosomal RNA, 1372 nt
Filed under: uncultured bacterium
Lineage: Bacteria
Description: bacterial SSU rRNA
Rfam family: Bacterial small subunit ribosomal RNA
Source: RNAcentral